CGGACGGGUGAGUAAUGUCUGGGAAACUGCCCGAUGGAGGGGGGUAACUACUGGAAACGGUAGCUAAUACCGCAUAACGCCGCAAGACCAAAGAGGGGGACCUUCGGGCCUCUUGCCAUCGGAUGUGUCCAGAUGGGAUUAGCUAGUAGGUGGGGUAACGGCUCACCUAGGCGACGAUCCCUAGCUGGUCUGAGAGGAUGACCAGCCACACUGGAACUGAGACACGGUCCAG
Molecule: ribosomal RNA, 232 nt
Filed under: uncultured bacterium
Lineage: Bacteria
Description: partial 16S ribosomal RNA
Rfam family: Bacterial small subunit ribosomal RNA
Source: RNAcentral